UACGUAGGGGGCAAGCGUUGUCCGGAUUUAUUGGGCGUAAAGAGCGUGUAGGCGGCUAUACAGGUCCGUUGUGAAAACUCGAGGCUCAACCUCGAGACGCCGAUGGAAACUGUAUGGCUAGAGUCCGGAAGAGGAGAGCGGAAUUCCUGGUGUAGCGGUGAAAUGCGCAGAUAUCGGGAAGAACACCCGUGGCGAAGGCGGUUCUCUGGGACGGUACUGACGCUGAGACGCGAAAGCGUGGGGAGCGAACAGG
Molecule: ribosomal RNA, 253 nt
Filed under: uncultured bacterium
Lineage: Bacteria
Description: partial 16S ribosomal RNA
Rfam family: Bacterial small subunit ribosomal RNA
Source: RNAcentral